Molecule: ribosomal RNA, 440 nt
Filed under: uncultured Sphingobacteriales bacterium
Lineage: Bacteria; Pseudomonadati; Bacteroidota; Sphingobacteriia; Sphingobacteriales
Description: bacterial SSU rRNA
Rfam family: Bacterial small subunit ribosomal RNA
Source: RNAcentral
GGUUUAAUUCGAUGAUACGCGAGGAACCUUAACCUGGGCUAGAACGCAGAAUGACAGAUGCCGAAAGGUGUUUCCCAGCAAUGGCAUUUUGCGAGGUGCUGCAUGGUUGUCGUCAGCUCGUGCCGUGAGGUGUCGGGUUAAGUCCCAUAACGAGCGCAACCCCUAUUGUUAGUUGCCAGCGGGUAAUGCCGGGAUCUCUAACGAAACUGCCGGUGUAAACCGGAGGAAGGUGGGGGAUGACGUCAAAUCAGCACGGCCCUUAUGUCCAGGGCUACACACGUGUUACAAUGGCCGAUACAACGGGCAGCCACCUGGUGACAGGGAGCUAAUCCUAAAAGUCGGUCUCAGUUCGGAUCGAAGUCUGCAACCCGACUUCGUGAAGCUGGAUUCGCUAGUAAUCGCAGAUCAGCCAUGCUGCGGUGAAUACGUUCCCGGGCCUU